Arachis duranensis is the source of this 3725-nucleotide long non-coding RNA. RefSeq lists it as uncharacterized. The transcript has 5 exons. The record is from RefSeq and is a predicted model, not a curated record. Lineage: Eukaryota; Viridiplantae; Streptophyta; Magnoliopsida; Fabales; Fabaceae.
UAACCUAUGGCAUGGAAUUGGCUGAGACUGCUGUUCCAUUACAUAAAAAAUGCAGCAGCCUUGGAUUGAUGAAAAAAAUUUAAAAAGCUCACUAAAUGAACAUCACAAUCUGAUGAAACUGCAUAUGUCUAAUGACACUGUGACCUUUAACCGUAAACCACCUAAUACCACCAUCAAUUCCUCCUCCCGCUGUUGUCAACCCCGAACGAAGACAAUGAAGCAAUUCCAUUGUGGGGAUCCUUCACGGGCAAGGAUUCUGUUAUUUUACAUGCUACUAUUUAUACAAUUUUUUGUUGAUACCUCCGUUGAUCAAAAGUUGCAGGCAUGGAGGCACCGAACCACAGAUCAAUUCAGAUAUCUUUGGCAGAUCAGACGGAGGACUUCGGGGAUGGUCCAACUCUAUCCCGUGACUCUGCAUCGAAGGCAUAACCGGGUCCCCAAUAGCUGAUUCUCUACAAUCGGAUGGUGAAUUUGCAGCCAAGGUCACGUUGGGGAUGCUCUCAUCGUUGGUUCGGAAUAAUGGAUGGUAUCCAGGUCCAGAUUGACGACCUAAAGAAGUUUAUCGGACCGCAGAACUGUCUCAACACGGAACUGGUUGACCAAGCAACUCGGGAAUGCCAUGUAACUCCUUCGACAUGAAGACUCCUACCCCUUCUGCCACCAAAAAACAAGUUGGGACAACACUGCAAACCUACAAGCGACGCAACAAGCUGUCACCCUCCAAAAUUAACGAUUCGGACUAUCAUCCCAUCCCUACACCACCUUCCAACCUGGAGGAUAGAUAUCAUCACAUUUUGGCGGAAGGACACUAGAAUCCAUUAUGUGUUGAAAAGGAGAUAUAAAACUAAACCUCCAAGGGGAAAAGGAAAUUGUUCAAUGCUAGAAGAGGAAAUAAUGGAACAAAGGAAUCAUGCCCCUACAACAGCAACAGGGACAUCCUGGCUAUGAAAUAGGCUGAGCAGCAGAAUUUCUUACAGGUUUCACAUGUCGAUAAGAGUAGAUGGGCAAAGGGAGUCGGUUCCAUCCUCCCAGGGGGCAUGCCGAUGACAUUUUUCUCGACGGAAGACAUGUAAGUCGUUGGGCUUAACUUGGCAGCAGCUACAUAUAUAUUCAACAACGUCCUGGACCAAGAGUAUGUUUAACCCUGAUAAUACUAUCUUACAUUUGUCACAUUACCUUCUGUUUGCAUAUGAUGGAUAGUGUUGGUUUCUUUUAGAGUCUGUAUGGAAAGCAUUAAUGUGAGGUGAGAAUUUUACUUGUGGUUAUAAUUCAAUUUCGUAUUCAUGUGUUUUCGACAAGCAGUUUAUAUAUUCAUAUGAGGAUUUCUAAUUCUAUUGAAGGUUGACAUUCAUGUGAGAAUUCUAACCUCAAGGUGUUCCACCACUUGCUAGUGCUAAGUUGCUUGUAUAUGAAUUAAAUCUGUGGCGUUUCCAACUUAGCUGGCCACAACCUACUAAUGGAUGUCAUUUGUAGUGAGCUGCUUGUUCCUAAUCCUCACUGUGCCGUCACAUGUGAGGCACUGAAGACCCUUGAGCCCGAAAAGCCCAUUUUGGACGAUGUAAGUCUCUAUUUCCAUAUAAUCAUGUAUCAUUGCAAUGAAUUUGUUGUACAAUCCAUUAAAAAUAUGGUGCUGCCUAAUAGGUUCUGAUACUGCUGGCCUCGAUGCUUACUCGAAGCUCGAGCAGAGUUUAAUGGUUCUUGCCAACAACCCUCACCAAAUUACUACUGGUCGCGAACAGAUACCAUGGGCGACUGUGGAGGCUAUACGCAAAGACUUCAUGGGGAUGGCUAACAACGUGUGCAAGGUAUGAAACUUCAAAAAUAUCUGUAGUACGCACGCCCAUGGUGUUUGAGUUGGUUAUGUUUGCAUUAGUGUCUAAGUGAAUUCUAAAUUUAAACCAUUAUUUUUUUUGAAAACGUCAAAAUCUUCAUGAUGACAUUACCCUCUACUUUGUCUCUUAUUCACCAUGGCAGCCACUCACCUUGAAGUCUCCCAUUUAAUUUUAUAUAUCAAGUUACAUGUAUAUUAUAUAUUGUGAAAUUCGUCCUUUGUUGUUUGAAUUUGCAGUGUAUUAUGAAAAUGGAAUUAUAAAUUACAUUUGGUUGUAGAGUUUUUUUUCAUCUUUUGAAGUAAGAUGAGAAUUAGGUGACUGGAAGAAGACGACGAGUUGGAUUUGAACUUGAAUAAUUUUUUAUUAUGUUACGGCUGAACUAAAGUAUUCAUGAGUCGUUUUCGUGUAUGUGUUCUUGUCUCUAUGCCGAUUUCUUUAUGUUUCUAUCUUUCCGUACGUGGGACAUCUACCAAGCGUAAUCUAAAUGCAUUGUUGAUGAACAAAGUACUUUACAGAUAUUUGCCCCUAUUUGGUCCGACAACCAUUGGUUCCUGCUGGUCAUGGAAUUUUUUGGGAAGGAGCUAGUGUAUUUGGAUUCCCUAAAAGCUGUUGCUUGAGUUAGGGCCAGAAGGAUUAGGCAGAUUAGGAAAGUGGUACAAAAUGUAUUCCUUCUACAUCCUCUUUGUGACUUAUUUGUUGUUUAUAAUUUUUUGUGUAUUCUCAACGUAAUAACGACUCUACUUAUGAUUUUUUUUUACGUAUUUAAGCCAUUUUCUUGGAAGAAAUGCUUGAUGACAAAUUAUGGUAUGAAAACCCAACUGAUGAGAGGUUAUUCAUAAGUGAGUACAAACUUUAUAAGCCAAAGGUUGUCAAACAAGACCAUCAAAGGUAUGAGAUAAGUGGAUGUCAGUUAUUCAUCACUAUCACGUAAUGAAUUUAUUUAAGUCGAUACACGAGUUUUUCAAGUUUGUUUUACACAUAAAUCCUAAAAUUGCAAUGCUACAACAAUGACUGUGGAAUGUAUGUGGCUCAGUGGACGAUAUUGUACCACCUCUGGAGCUCUUACGACAUUGCGGUAAGUAACGUUAUUGCAUAAACUAUUUUGUCUGGUACCAUACCACUGAACAAUAUAUUGAAAUUCAUUUGAAAUAUGCUCUAUAAAUGUUAAUUAUGAUGCAAAAGGUGAUAUACUAUAGCAGGAUAAGGCUUGCCAUUGACAUAGUUCUUAAGUACCACAACGAGAACUGCAUGGCAGUGAUAGAAUCGGCAAUAGAGUAUUGGAGGACCUUCACAAGGGAUCUUUCGAUUACGAAAUAAACCCUAAGUCGUCGACUUAACACUUUUUGGGAGCAGCUAUGAAAAUAUAAGGCCGAACAAAUGGAUCCAUUUUGGUAGUACAUACUUUGGUAGUCCACCACCUGCAACUGUGAUGGAUGAGCCCUCGCACACUAAGAUAUGAAGAUAUAAGGUGCUAAAUGUUUUGCCAAGGUUUAGAUCCCAUGCACACGAAGGUUGACCACUGAGGCCGCUGCUAAUAGGUAUCAUUGUUGAAAGAUAUAAGAAGGCAGUAGCAUUUUCGAUUGUCACUGGGAAAUGGAGCAGCGUCCCUUGCGUUUCUAGCAAGGUUGGGUGCAUAGUUCACUGUCCUACCUUCUUCCUUACAAUUUGCUUUCCCAGUGGAAAAGACGACUAAUUAAUGUUCGCUUAUGUUUUGCAACUUUAUUUUGGACCUAAUUCUAAUUGAGUCGUUGCUUGAUGUACAGUGCUAAACAAUUAUAGGCACACUUUAUGUUUUCAUACUUGAUGCACUAAAGCUUAUUGAGUAAAUUUUCUCAUUUUAAGAAAAAUGCUAUUUAUACACUAUACAAGGGCUUUGUGCCAUCUGCUUUUCAA